Molecule: ribosomal RNA, 398 nt
Filed under: uncultured bacterium
Lineage: Bacteria
Description: partial 16S ribosomal RNA
Rfam family: Bacterial small subunit ribosomal RNA
Source: RNAcentral
AUACGUAGGGUGCGAGCGUUGUCCGGAAUUACUGGGCGUAAAGAGCUCGUAGGUGGUUUGUCGCGUCGUCUGUGAAAUUCCGGGGCUUAACUCCGGGCGUGCAGGCGAUACGGGCAUAACUUGAGUACUGUAGGGGAGACUGGAAUUCCUGGUGCAGCGGUGAAAUGCGCAGAUAUCAGGAGGAACACCGGUGGCGAAGGCGGGUCUCUGGGCAGUAACUGACGCUGAGGAGCGAAAGCAUGGGUAGCGAACAGGAUUAGAUACCCUGGUAGUCCAUGCCGUAAACGGUGGGCGCUAGGUGUAGGGGUCUUCCACGACUUCUGUGCCGUAGCUAACGCAUUAAGCGCCCCGCCUGGGGAGUACGGCCGCAAGGCUAAAACUCAAAUGAAUUGACGGGG